This 433-nucleotide ribosomal RNA is filed under the name uncultured bacterium. RNAcentral's name for it is "partial 16S ribosomal RNA". It matches the Rfam family "Bacterial small subunit ribosomal RNA", at positions 29 to 507 of the family's 1533-position model. The record is from RNAcentral.
AACGAACGCUGGCGGCAUGCCUAACACAUGCAAGUCGAACGAGACCUUCGGGCCUAGUGGCGCACGGGUGCGUAACGCGUGGGAACCUGCCCUUAGGUUCGGAAUAACUCCCCGAAAGGGGUGCUAAUACCGGAUAAUGUCUUCGGACCAAAGGUUUAACGCCUUUGGAUGGGCCCGCGUUGGAUUAGCUAGUUGGUAGGGUAAAAGCCUACCAAGGCGACGAUCCAUAGCUGGUCAGAGAGGAUGAUCAGCCACACUGGGACUGAGACACGGCCCAGACUCCUACGGGAGGGAGCAGUGGGGAAUACUGGACAAUGGGGGAAAGCAUGAUCCAGCAAUGCCGCGUGAGUGAUGAAGGCCUUAGGGUUGUAAAGCUCUUUUACCCGGGAUGAUAAUGACAGUACCGGGAGAAUAAGCUCCGGCUAACUCCGUG